This 477-nucleotide ribosomal RNA is filed under the name uncultured bacterium. RNAcentral describes it as "partial 16S ribosomal RNA". It matches the Rfam family "Bacterial small subunit ribosomal RNA", at positions 28 to 507 of the family's 1533-position model. The record is from RNAcentral.
GAUUAACGCUGGCGGCGUGCAUAACACAUGCAAGUCGAACGAUGAAACUUAAAUGAUUUCUUCGGAAUGAACUUAAGUGAAUUAGUGGCGGACGGGUGAGUAACGCGUGAGUAACCUGCCUUACACAAGGGGAUAGCCGUUGGAAACGACGAAUAAUACCCUAUGAAACUAUCACUUCGCAUGAAGCGAUAGUCAAAGUGUUAGCGGUGUAAGAUGGACUUGCGUCUGAUUAGCUAGUUGGUGAGAAAAAAGCCCACCAAGGCAACGAUCAGUAGCCGGCUUGAGAGAGUGUACGGCCACAUUGGGACUGAGACACGGCCCAGACUCCUACGGGAGGCAGCAGUGGGGAAUUUUGCACAAUGGGGGAAACCCUGAUGCAGCGACGCCGCGUGAUUUAGAAGGCCUUCGGGUUGUAAAAAUCUUUUGUAUAGGAAGAAAAUGACAGUACUAUACGAAUAAGGUCCGGCUAAGUACGUG